GUGCCAGCCGCCGCGGUAAUACGGAGGGUCCGAGCGUUAUCCGGAAUCAUUGGGUUUAAAGGGUCCGCAGGCGGUCGAUUAAGUCAGAGGUGAAAUCCCAUAGCUCAACUAUGGAACUGCCUUUGAUACUGGUUGACUUGAGUCAUAUGGAAGUAGAUAGAAUGUGUAGUGUAGCGGUGAAAUGCAUAGAUAUUACACAGAAUACCGAUUGCGAAGGCAGUCUACUACGUAUGUACUGACGCUGAGGGACGAAAGCGUGGGGAGCGAACAGGAUUAGAUACCCUGGUAGUCCACGCCGUAAACGAUGGAUACUAGUUGUUGGGCAUUAGCUCAGUGACUAAGCGAAAGUGAUAAGUAUCCCACCUGGGGAGUACGGUCGCAAGACUGAAACUUAAAUAAAUUGACGG
Molecule: ribosomal RNA, 407 nt
Filed under: uncultured bacterium
Lineage: Bacteria
Description: bacterial SSU rRNA
Rfam family: Bacterial small subunit ribosomal RNA
Source: RNAcentral